UGGGGAAUCUUGGACAAUGGGCGCAAGCCUGAUCCAGCCAUACCGCGUGGAUGAUGAAGGCCUUAGGGUUGUAAAAUCCUUUCGUGGGGGACGAUAAUGACGGUACCCCAAGAAGAAGCUCCGGCUAACUUCGUGCCAGCAGCCGCGGUAAUACGAAGGGGGCUAGCGUUGUUCGGAUUUACUGGGCGUAAAGCGCGUGUAGGCGGGUCGUUAAGUUGGGGGUGAAAUCCCGAGGCUCAACCUCGGAACUGCCUUCAAAACUGGCGACCUGGACUCAAGCAGAGGCAAGUGGAAUUGCGAGUGUAGAGGUGAAAUUCGUAGAUAUUCGCAGGAACACCAGUGGCGAAGGCGACUUGCUGGGCUUGUAGUGACGCUGAGACGCGAAAGCGUGGGGAGCAAACAGGAUUAGAUACCCAAGUAGUCCCUGAGCGGGCUGGCAAGGCGCAU
Molecule: ribosomal RNA, 447 nt
Filed under: uncultured bacterium
Lineage: Bacteria
Description: bacterial SSU rRNA
Rfam family: Bacterial small subunit ribosomal RNA
Source: RNAcentral